This 540-nucleotide ribosomal RNA is filed under the name Saitozyma flava. RNAcentral describes it as "partial large subunit ribosomal RNA". It matches the Rfam family "Eukaryotic large subunit ribosomal RNA", at positions 81 to 634 of the family's 3401-position model. The record is from RNAcentral. Lineage: Eukaryota; Fungi; Basidiomycota; Tremellomycetes; Tremellales; Trimorphomycetaceae.
UAGUAGCGGCGAGCGAAGCGGGAAGAGCUCAAAUUUGUAAUCUGGCGUCCUCCGGGCGUCCGAGUUGUAAUCUAUAGAGACGUUUUCCGUGCCGGACCGUGUCCAAGUCCCUUGGAACAGGGUAUCAAAGAGGGUGACAAUCCCGUACUUGACACGACGACCGGUGCUCUGUGAUACGUUUUCUACGAGUCGAGUUGUUUGGGAAUGCAGCUCAAAAUGGGUGGUAAAUUCCAUCUAAAGCUAAAUAUAGGCGAGAGACCGAUAGCGAACAAGUACCGUGAGGGAAAGAUGAAAAGCACUUUGGAAAGAGAGUUAAACAGUAUGUGAAAUUGUUGAAAGGGAAACGAUUGAAGUCAGUCAUGUCCAUUGGAUUCAGCUGGUUCUGCCAGUGUAUUUCCUUUGGACGGGUCAACAUCAGUUUGAGCCGGCGGAUAAUGGCAGAGGGAAUGUGGCACCCCCGGGUGUGUUAUAGCCCUUUGUCGCAUACGUCGGCCCAGACUGAGGAAUGCAGCUCGCCUUUAUGGCCGGGGUUCGCCCACG